RNAcentral lists this transfer RNA (85 nucleotides) under Chloroflexota bacterium. Its description in RNAcentral is "tRNA-Leu". It matches the Rfam family "tRNA". From Rfam's summary of the family: Transfer RNA (tRNA) molecules are approximately 80 nucleotides in length. Lineage: Bacteria; Bacillati; Chloroflexota. RNAcentral also lists the same sequence under 1 other name. The record is from RNAcentral.
GGGGAAGUGGCGGAAUUGGCAGACGCGCGUGAUUUAGGAUCACGUGCCGCGAGGCGUAGGAGUUCGAGUCUCCUCUUCCCCACCA